GGGUUGUGAGGUUAAGCGACUAAGCGUACACGGUGGAUGCCCUGGCAGUCAGAGGCGAUGAAGGGCGUGCUAAUCUGCGAUAAG
Molecule: ribosomal RNA, 84 nt
Filed under: Salmonella enterica
Lineage: Bacteria; Pseudomonadati; Pseudomonadota; Gammaproteobacteria; Enterobacterales; Enterobacteriaceae
Also listed under: 5 other names
Description: partial 23S ribosomal RNA
Source: RNAcentral